This 460-nucleotide ribosomal RNA is filed under the name uncultured bacterium. RNAcentral's name for it is "bacterial SSU rRNA". It matches the Rfam family "Bacterial small subunit ribosomal RNA", at positions 29 to 467 of the family's 1533-position model. The record is from RNAcentral.
AACGAACGCUGGCGGCGUGGAUAAGACAUGCAAGUCGAACGGGAUUACUUUUGGUAGCAAUACCGAAAGUAAUUCAGUGGCGAACGGGUGCGUAACACGUGGGCAAUCUGCCGAAAAGUGGGGGAUAGCUCGCCGAAAGGCGAAUUAAUACCGCAUGUGGUGAGGGACGACAUCUUCCUGAAUCCAAAGCCGGGGCAACCUGGCGCUUUUUUGAGGAGCCCGCGGCCUAUCAGCNGUUGGCGGGGUAACGGCCCACCAAGGCUAUGACGGGUAGCUGGUCUGAGAGGACGACCAGUCACACUGGAACUGAGACACGGUCCAGACACCUACGGUGGCAGCAGUCGAGAAUUUUUCUCAAUGGGGGAAACCCUGAAGGAGCGACGCCGCGUGGAGGAUGAAGGCUUUCGGGUUGUAAACUCCUGUCAUUUGAGAACAAGUGCCAACAAGUAACUACUGUUGG